ACCUGGCUGGCUCAGUCGGUAGAGCAUGUGACUCUUAAUCUCGAGGUCAUGAGUUCGAGUCUCGUGUGGUGUA
Molecule: transfer RNA, 73 nt
Filed under: Felis catus (domestic cat)
Lineage: Eukaryota; Metazoa; Chordata; Mammalia; Carnivora; Felidae
Rfam family: tRNA
About the family: Transfer RNA (tRNA) molecules are approximately 80 nucleotides in length. Their secondary structure includes four short double-helical elements and three loops (D, anti-codon, and T loops). Further hydrogen bonds mediate the characteristic L-shaped molecular structure. tRNAs have two regions of fundamental functional importance: the anti-codon, which is responsible for specific mRNA codon recognition, and the 3' end, to which the tRNAs corresponding amino acid is attached (by aminoacyl-tRNA synthetases). tRNAs cope with the degeneracy of the genetic code in two manners: having more than one tRNA (with a specific anti-codon) for a particular amino acid; and 'wobble' base-pairing, i.e. permitting non-standard base-pairing at the 3rd anti-codon position.
Source: Rfam by way of RNAcentral